This is a long non-coding RNA of Homarus americanus (American lobster), 339 nucleotides long. RefSeq lists it as uncharacterized. The transcript is spliced from 3 exons. The record is from RefSeq and is a predicted model, not a curated record. Lineage: Eukaryota; Metazoa; Arthropoda; Malacostraca; Decapoda; Nephropidae.
CCAGAGGUGGGGGAGAAGUCGAUGUUGUAACCAGUCGCCGUGUGCAGCAUGUGCUAAAAGGAGUUGUUGCAGUCCAGAAGACGUGAUUGGUGUGUGAUAAUCCAGAGGGACAUUAAUGCUUGACUGAAUUUUGGAAAUGAGAGGCAGUAAAUGUGUUUGAGGAUGGAGUGGUGGUGGGUAGUGCCGUAACCAGGUUGCAGAAAGGGUGGACUACUACAUGUAUGGGGCUGUGCAAUGGACUGUGUUGAGGAGAAGAAGCAGCAGUGGCAGCAGCAGCAGGGGCGGCGGCGGUAGCAGCAGUGGCGGCAGUUGUUUAAGAUAAGUAGUGUGGUGUGGUGC